Molecule: ribosomal RNA, 224 nt
Filed under: uncultured bacterium
Lineage: Bacteria
Description: partial 16S ribosomal RNA
Rfam family: Bacterial small subunit ribosomal RNA
Source: RNAcentral
CGUAAAGAACCUGCCUCAUAGACUGGGACAACUAUUGGAAACGAUAGCUAAUAUCGGAUAACAGCAUUAACUGCAUGGUUGAUGUUUAAAAGUUGGUUUUGCUAACACUAUGAGAUGGCCUUGCGGUGCAUUAGCUAGUUGGUGGGGUAAAGGCCUACCAAGGCGACGAUGCAUAGCCGACCUGAGAGGGUGAUCGGCCACACUGGGACUGAGACACGGCCCAG